UUGUUUGAACCGCAUGGUUCAAACAUAAAAGGUGGCUUCGGCUACCACUUACAGAUGGACCCGCGGCGCAUUAGCUAGUUGGUGAGGUAACGGCUCACCAAGGCAACGAUGCGUAGCCGACCUGAGAGGGUGAUCGGCCACACUGGGACUGAGACACGGCCCAGACUCCUACGGGAGGCAGCAGUAGGGAAUCUUCCGCAAUGGACGAAAGUCUGACGGAGCAACGCCGCGUGAGUGAUGAAGGUUUUCGGAUCGUAAAGCUCUGUUGUUAGGGAAGAACAAGUACCGUUCAAAUAGGGCGGUACCUUGACGGUACCUAACCAGAAAGCCACGGCUAACUACGUGCCAGCAGCCGCGGUAAUACGUAGGUGGCAAGCGUUGUCCGGAAUUAUUGGGCGUAAAGGGCUCGCAGGCGGUUCCUUAAGUCUGAUGUGAAAGCCCCCGGCUCAACCGGGGAGGGUCAUUGGAAACUGGGGAACUUGAGUGCAGAAGAGGAGAGUGGAAUUCCACGUGUAGCGGUGAAAUGCGUAGAGAUGUGGAGGAACACCAGUGGCGAAGGCGACUCUCUGGUCUGUAACUGACGCUGAGGAGCGAAAGCGUGGGGAGCGAACAGGAUUAGAUACCCUGGUAGUCCACGCCGUAAACGAUGAGUGCUAAGUGUUAGGGGGUUUCCGCCCCUUAGUGCUGCAGCUAACGCAUUAAGCACUCCGCCUGGGGAGUACGGUCGCAAGACUGAAACUCAAAGGAAUUGACGGGGGCCCGCACAAGCGGUGGAGCAUGUGGUUUAAUUCGAAGCAACGCGAAGAACCUUACCAGGUCUUGACAUCCUCUGACAAUCCUAGAGAUAGGACGUCCCCUUCGGGGGCAGAGUGACAGGUGGUGCAUGGUUGUCGUCAGCUCGUGUCGUGAGAUGUUGGGUUAAGUCCCGCAACGAGCGCAACCCUUGAUCUUAGUUGCCAGCAUUCAGUUGGGCACUCUAAGGUGACUGCCGGUGACAAACCGGAGGAAGGUGGGGAUGACGUCAAAUCAUCAUGCCCCUUAUGACCUGGGCUACACACGUGCUACAAUGGACAGAACAAAGGGCAGCGAAACCGCGAGGUUAAGCCAAUCCCACAAAUCUGUUCUCAGUUCGGAUCGCAGUCUGCAAC
This 1148-nucleotide ribosomal RNA is filed under the name Bacillus sp. RD4. Its description in RNAcentral is "bacterial SSU rRNA". It matches the Rfam family "Bacterial small subunit ribosomal RNA", at positions 173 to 1311 of the family's 1533-position model. Lineage: Bacteria; Bacillati; Bacillota; Bacilli; Caryophanales; Bacillaceae. The record is from RNAcentral.